GCUGACACAUCCCGGCCAAUCUCCAGCAGACCCUCCCUCCCAGACCCUCCCACCUCCUGGACAGCAUCCAUGUUGAAGCUGCCUUCAACAUGGAUGCUGUCCAGGAGGUGGGAGGGUCUGGGAGGGAGGGUCUGCUGGAGAUUGGCCGGGAUGUGUAAG
Non-coding RNA from Pelobates cultripes (western spadefoot toad), 159 nucleotides. The record is from the annotation of a GenBank genome assembly. NCBI's taxonomy places the organism in Eukaryota, Metazoa, Chordata, Amphibia, Anura, Pelobatidae.